CCUCAUGGGUUCAAGCGAUUCUCGUGCCUCAGCCUCCCCAGUACCCUGGAAGUGCUCAGUACAUCAUAUGAGCCAGAGUGCUGGCCAGGAAUGAGACCACGCUUUGCCUGUUGGUCACCGCAUCUCCAGGGAACUCAGAGGCAUCUCCAGGAAACACCUGAAUAUGUGAGCUGGUUCCUUACAACAGUCCAAUGAAGCAGAGGUGUGAGCAGAUCCUUUUUACAGCUAAGGAAACUGAGGCACAAAGAGGUUGACAGCACACUUGCCCCAAAGCGCAGAUCUGAAAUCCAGGCAGCGCUCACUCCACUUGGCAUCUGCUGCAGUGGCUCAGAGGCUGGGUCUGGAGUCAUCUGAAGGCCCUUUCACUCUUGUGUCUGGAGGGCAAUUGGCCCUUGCCAGCUGGGACUUUUCCACGUGGCUCCAUGGGUGCCUCACAGCAUGGUCCUGGGUCCCAAGAAGACGAGAUAGAACAUUUUUAGAUUUAGCCUCAGAAGUCACAUGGCAUCACAUCUGCAGUAGGCCCACUGGAUUCAAGGGGACACAGACCUUCAUCUCUCCAUGGGUGAGUGUGGCCUCAUGUUGCAGGAAGAGCUAUGGAGUAUCACAAAGUGAUGCAGCCAUCUUUAGAAAAUGCACUCUGCCACACACACCUGCUUCCUUAGGCCACAGGGCCUUUGGACAUCCUAUUUCUUCCACAGGGAGCGCUCUUUCCCCUCUUCCCCUAAUUAAAGUCUACUCAUCUUUUACAUCUCAGCUGGGUUAUCAUUUCUUCAGGGAACCCUUCCCUGAGCUCCCCAACCAGGUCAGUUCCCCUAGUUUAUGCUUACUUAUUCCUCCUCAAGGAGUGUCACAGUUAUAUUUUACAUAUGUGUGCAUGCAUAUAAUAUAUGCAUGUAAUUUUGUGCUCUUUUAUACACACAAACACAGCAUAUCAAUGCCUGUCUUAAUUAGAUGGUAAGCCUCAUAAAAAGAGGAACUGUAGAGCUUGUUGGAUUUUGUUCAUUGCUCUAUCCUCAAUGCCUACUGUAAGGACUAGAAUACAGCGGGUCUCAUAUAUUUGUUGAAUAAAAAAAUGCAUGGAUACUCAAGGCUGGAUUUUGGAGCUUCCUGGGCUGAUGGCUGUGUUACCCCCGGGGCAGGAUCCUUAAACCCAGGAAAAAGAGAUUCAGAGGAAGAUACUUCUGAGCUUGAUGCUGGAAUAGCAGCUGAUCUCAACUUUGGGAGUUACAUCAAUGUUCAUCUCAACAGAAUGAAUCCCUCCUGCCCAGCUCCCAUGGACUUGCUUACAAAUGCUAAUGAGUUCAUUUCAUUUGUCUCUACCCAGCAACCCAGGUAGUACCAGCCUCCCAAAGGGAAUUAGGGAAGACUUGGAAUACUAGGAAAAAUACAGGACUAAUGAAUAGUUUCCAUGUGGGACCCAGCCCCGCCUCCAGCUCCUUUGUCAGAGGUGGCAGAGAUCUUCAACCUGUUCUGACUUUGCACUCAGAUUAACAAAACAUGCACUGCUAGGGGCACAUAGAUUCUUUCACCAGGCAAAGGUGUUUGGGUUCAGCAAGCUUACACCCUAAUUAUAAAGGAGGAGAAAAUGGGGCAGAGUCUGCAGUGGGGAUGGGAAGGAUUUUUAGGAAGGGCAUGGAUAAAGAAAAAAAAAGGUUAAUAACCAAGUUUGCUGUGAAAUUAAAACUUCAUGACAUAUUUGUCCAGACCCUGCCGAACAUUUGCAAACCUCUCUUUGGGAAGCAAGAGAGACACAGCCAACAGGGAGAAACUGCAGGGUGGGAACCAAUUUCCUCCUAGAUCUACUCUGGGGAAAAUCUAGAAGCCCAGGACUGCCAGAGACCAUCUUCAUGUUCUCAUUCAUGUUCAGACCCCAGCUUUUGAGGGCCUAAAAGCAGCUCAGGCCUUGUUCCACCUUUCUCAGGGAAAAUCUGUGC
Molecule: long non-coding RNA, 1934 nt
Filed under: Homo sapiens (human)
Lineage: Eukaryota; Metazoa; Chordata; Mammalia; Primates; Hominidae
Description: HSALNT0360027
Source: RNAcentral